CAAGACAACUUUACGGAGUUGACGAUUGACGGAGCGAAGCGACGUCAAAGCGUUCAUUAAAGUCGAGUUGGCUUAGGGAUACGUUCGUUGGGUAGGGGAGCGUUCUGUAAGCCUGUGAAGGUGUGUCGUGAGGCAUGCUGGAGGUAUCAGAAGUGCGAAUGCUGACAUAAGUAACGAUAAAGCGGGUGAAAAGCCCGCUCGCCGGAAGACCAAGGGUUCCUGUCCAACGUUAAUCGGGGCAGGGUGAGUCGACCCCUAAGGCGAGGCCGAAAGGCGUAGUCGAUGGGAAACGGGUUAAUAUUCCCGUACUUGGUGUUACUGCGAAGGGGGGACGGAGAAGGCUAUGUUGGCCGGGCGACGGUUGUCCCGGUUUAAGCGUGUAGGUGUGUGUUCCAGGUAAAUCCGGUUCACUUUAACACUGAGGCGUGACGACGAGGCACUACGGUGCUGAAGCAACAAAUGCCCUGCUUCCAGGAAAAGCCUCUAAGCAUCAGGUAACAUCAAAUCGUACCCCAAACCGACACAGGUGGUCAGGUAGAGAAUACCAAGGCGCUUGAGAGAACUCGGGUGAAGGAACUAGGCAAAAUGGUGCCGUAACUUCGGGAGAAGGCACGCUGACACGUAGGUGAAGUGAUUUACUCAUGGAGCUGAAGUCAGUCGAAGAUACCAGCUGGCUGCAACUGUUUAUUAAAAACACAGCACUGUGCAAACACGAAAGUGGACGUAUACGGUGUGACGCCUGCCCGGUGCCGGAAGGUUAAUUGAUGGGGUCAGCGCAAGCGAAGCUCCUGAUCGAAGCCCCGGUAAACGGCGGCCGUAACUAUAACGGUCCUAAGGUAGCGAAAUUCCUUGUCGGGUAAGUUCCGACCUGCACGAAUGGCGUAAUGAUGGCCAGGCUGUCUCCACCCGAGACUCAGUGAAAUUGAACUCGCUGUGAAGAUGCAGUGUACCCGCGGCAAGACGGAAAGACCCCGUGAACCUUUACUAUAGCUUGACACUGAACAUUGAGCCUUGAUGUGUAGGAUAGGUGGGAGGCUUUGAAGCGUGGACGCCAGUCUGCGUGGAGCCGACCUUGAAAUACCACCCUUUAAUGUUUGAUGUUCUAACGUGGACCCGUAAUCCGGGUUGCGGACAGUGUCUGGUGGGUAGUUUGACUGGGGCGGUCUCCUCCUAAAGAGUAACGGAGGAGCACGAAGGUUGGCUAAUCCUGGUCGGACAUCAGGAGGUUAGUGCAAUGGCAUAAGCCAGCUUGACUGCGAGCGUGACGGCGCGAGCAGGUGCGAAAGCAGGUCAUAGUGAUCCGGUGGUUCUGAAUGGAAGGGCCAUCGCUCAACGGAUAAAAGGUACUCCGGGGAUAACAGGCUGAUACCGCCCAAGAGUUCAUAUCGACGGCGGUGUUUGGCACCUCGAUGUCGGCUCAUCACAUCCUGGGGCUGAAGUAGGUCCCAAGGGUAUGGCUGUUCGCCAUUUAAAGUGGUACGCGAGCUGGGUUUAGAACGUCGUGAGACAGUUCGGUCCCUAUCUGCCGUGGGCGCUGGAGAACUGAGGGGGGCUGCUCCUAGUACGAGAGGACCGGAGUGGACGCAUCACUGGUGUUCGGGUUGUCAUGCCAAUGGCACUGCCCGGUAGCUAAAUGCGGAAGAGAUAAGUGCUGAAAGCAUCUAAGCACGAAACUUGCCCCGA
RNAcentral lists this ribosomal RNA (1683 nucleotides) under Salmonella enterica subsp. enterica serovar Typhimurium. RNAcentral's name for it is "partial 23S ribosomal RNA". It matches the Rfam family "Bacterial large subunit ribosomal RNA", at positions 1163 to 2802 of the family's 2925-position model. The record is from RNAcentral. Lineage: Bacteria; Pseudomonadati; Pseudomonadota; Gammaproteobacteria; Enterobacterales; Enterobacteriaceae.